CAAGCCUUAUUACAGAGGGCGUGGACACAGGGAGGAGUGAAGAAUCGUGGUCGUUUCUGCAAUCUCCCGCAGAAAGGGCACAUGAAUCAAUGCAGACCUCUCUCCACUGCAACAAAGAAAGUCUUCAUGCGCUCAUUCAAACGCAGGCAUUGUCCCAGUUGAAGGCCUGAAUAGCUCAAAAACGCUGACCCUACCCUGGUUAAGAGAAUUACCCCUGCCUUUGGACUUGAAUGGCAACAUCAGCUCUUCCUGGGUCUCGAGCCUGCUGGUCUUCAAACUGGAACUAUACCGUCAGCUCUCCUGGUCUCCAGCUUGCUAACUCACCCUGCAGAUCUUUGGACAUGCCAGCUUCCACAAACACGGUGAAACUUAAUAUCCAUUUUAAUCUGACCUCAAAUGGAUAAAGCUGGAUCCUGGAGUGAGGCAGACUCUGUUCAAACCCGUGCUGCACAACCUGCGGGCUGUGAGAUGUGACCUUGGGCAAGUUACUUAACCUCUCCGAGCCUCACCUCCCUCAAUGAUGCAGAGAAAAUAAUAGUGCCUGUUGCACAGACGUGUUGUUGGAGUUAAAUAAUAAAGUCUAUCUAAGGUGCUUCC
RNAcentral lists this long non-coding RNA (597 nucleotides) under Equus caballus (horse). RNAcentral describes it as "lncRNA (ENSECAG00000055799.1)". Lineage: Eukaryota; Metazoa; Chordata; Mammalia; Perissodactyla; Equidae. The record is from RNAcentral.